RNAcentral lists this transfer RNA (76 nucleotides) under Aedoeadaptatus ivorii. Its description in RNAcentral is "Peptoniphilus ivorii tRNA-Ala(ggc)". It matches the Rfam family "tRNA". Rfam says of the family: Transfer RNA (tRNA) molecules are approximately 80 nucleotides in length. Their secondary structure includes four short double-helical elements and three loops (D, anti-codon, and T loops). The record is from RNAcentral. RNAcentral also lists the same sequence under 3 other names. Lineage: Bacteria; Bacillati; Bacillota; Tissierellia; Tissierellales; Peptoniphilaceae.
GGGGGUGUAGCUCACAUGGGAGAGCGCUUGAAUGGCAUUCAAGAGGUAAGGAGUUCGAUCCUCCUCAUCUCCACCA